This is an RNA transcript of Camellia sinensis, 1728 nucleotides long. It is a transcript of the gene named transcription factor LUX, with no coding region annotated. Lineage: Eukaryota; Viridiplantae; Streptophyta; Magnoliopsida; Ericales; Theaceae. The record is from RefSeq and is a predicted model, not a curated record.
CCUCUUUACCAAACUCUCUCUCUCUCUCUCUCUUCGAAUCUUUAGAAGAUUUCUCAAAAAUAUCUCCUAACGACACACACUCUCACCCUCUCUCUCUCUCUCUCUCUCUGACUUUUGAUCAAAACAAAAAACUGAAGCAGUUGUAAUGAAUUGAAAAUGAAACCCUAGAGAUGUGAAGAUGGGCGAAGAGGUGAGGAUGAGUGAUUACGAUGGCGGCGGUGGCAGAGACGACAACCGAGUCUCAGAGUGGGAGGUAGGGCUACCGACCGGCGACGAUCUGACACCGUUAUCUCAUCCGUUGAUCCCGCCGGAGCUAGCGUCGGCGUUCAGCAUAUCGCCUGAAUCCUCCCGGAACGCGAUGGAUGUGAAUUUGGCGUCGCAGAACACGCUCGGGCAGUUACAAGCCAUUUCUUCGUCGAAUAAUUUCAAUUUGAAGUCGCUUAAUCAGGUGAGGACUAUGGAAUUGGAAGAAGACGAGGCGGAUCUGAUGAAGGAGGGGUCGGAAUCGAGGAAGCUGAGGAGGAUUGAUAGCGGCGGAGCUGAGGAGGAGGAGGAAAACGGAAACGAUGAUCUGUCGGCGGCGAAGAUGGCGGUGAAGAGGCCGCGGCUGGUGUGGACGGCGCUGCUGCACAAGAGGUUUGUUGACGUUGUUGCGCAUUUAGGUAUAAAAAAUGCUGUGCCGAAGACGAUCAUGCUGUUGAUGAAUGUGGAGGGAUUGACUCGCGAGAAUGUGGCCAGUCAUCUUCAGAAGUAUCGAUUGUAUUUGAAGAGGAUGCAAGGGUUGUCGAACGAAGGUCCUUCGUCGUCCGAUCAUCUGUUCGCGUCUACGCCUGUGCCGCAGAGCCUACAGGAGACCGGAGGAGGGGGGAGUUUACAUGGGAAUGGGCGGCAUGUACAGAUGCCGAUUCCAAUGCCUUACCCGCAGCAGAUGAUGCAUACGCAGAUGAUGCAUAUGCCGAGUCCUUAUCAAGGAUUUGAGUCGCAUCCGUACAAUGUGGUGCAGCAGAGAGAUUGGUAUCAGCAUGUUACGCCCAAUGAUAAAUAACGAAAAGAUUCAAAGGAUUGAGAAACUUGGUACAAGCUUAAUUUGGGGAACUCAACUUCUAUUGUUGCUUAAUUGGUAAAAUCCUGGACCUGCCAGACACGAGCAGAGUUGGGAAAUAUUGGAGAUAAUCUGACUUAUCCAGUAUCAUUUGGCAUUAAUAUAUAAAUCAGGCAAAGGCACAAGCACAAGCUGGUGUACUAUUAUGGGUCUUUGCAAGGACAGCAAGUCAUAACAGUAAAGCAAAAGUCAUAUGAAAUCUAAGCAAAAGUUGCAGCAGUUCUUGCCUGCUCUUGGUAUUUUUGAUGCCUUCGAUUCCCUUUCCACAGAUUUUCCUUCGUAAAAAGAUUCUAUUCCCCAUGUUUCCAGAAGCUUGAAAUCAAUUCAUUUUGUAAUUAUUUGUUGCAUUUACUUCUUUUAGCCCCGUAAGUUAGCUCGUUUAUAUGAAUAUGGAUCUCUAUUCAUGAUAUUAUUGAGAAAUUUUGGGAAAGAAUUUAGAACUUUUUUGUAAAGGCUACAUUCCAAUCUGUUGAGCCUCUUUCUUUUGGACUGUUCAUUGUUUUUCCUUAGCAUUGUAUAUUUUUUCCUGAACAGAGAUCUUUAUAGUAGUGCUUCCCUAGAAAUUUAUCAAGGCUAUAUGAAUUGAGAAUGAUAAAAACCUUGUGCAUUGGAUUGCCUUUUAUAUU